Molecule: long non-coding RNA, 556 nt
Organism: Phymastichus coffea
Lineage: Eukaryota; Metazoa; Arthropoda; Insecta; Hymenoptera; Eulophidae
Exons: 3
Source: RefSeq, a predicted model, not a curated record
UUCAAAGGAAACGUAAAGAAUGUAAUUUAGGUCAAUACAAUAUUCACGUGGAAAAAGAAGAGGAGAAUAACAUGUGAACAUCACCUUAGAUACUGUGUGUUUGCAACUCAGGUUUUUGAAGGUGUAACGAAAUGAAAAUACCCUUAUUUGGAAAGCCUGUAGAAUAUACUUUAAAAGCUUCUGGGCUUUGGCCAAAUUAUCUUAAUAUCUUUGGAAUAAUAGUUACCAUGUCAGGACUGUUUACUGCAUUACCGUUUCAGUUGAUAGAGAUUUUAAACGGAUUCGACGAUUUAUUUAUACGCAUGGACGGCCUAUGCCAUUUUACAGCUGAAAUAUUGUUGUAUGCCAAAUUUUUAAUAAUUUUUUAUCAUAAAAGGGUAUUUACAAGUUUAUUGAAUGAAAUGUCAGAUUACUUUGAAAAUGAAGCUAAAAUGGAAGAUUGGUUAAAGCUUAUUGCAGAGUCGCAUCGCUUUACAAAAUUUGAUUACUCUAUGUAUGUAGGUGCUAGUUCAUUCUAUUUUCUACAAUUUAUGCUCAAUUAUCCAGGAACACCCGU